Molecule: non-coding RNA, 1769 nt
Organism: Oryza sativa Japonica Group (Japanese rice)
Lineage: Eukaryota; Viridiplantae; Streptophyta; Magnoliopsida; Poales; Poaceae
Source: RefSeq, a predicted model, not a curated record
UUUAGAGGUAUAAAUUUACUAAAAUAGGAAAGUAAUGCGGUGCCAAAAAAGGAAACAAGGUGGAGAGGUGGAGAGAGGGAAGAGGGGGGGGCGUAAAACCGAUCGCUUUGGGCGAGCGAGGGCGAUCGCUCGCCCAGUAGCAUUCCCGGGUUUAAUCGGCAUGUGGCACGUGCUGGAGCAUCAUCUAUGUCCCCAAGUAAGUAAUCUAAUCUUACCUUAGUUCUAUCUUUAAGCAUUUUAAGAAAUUGUAAUUAAAAUGUUAGUUCAUAUGGAUUAUCUCUUUGCUGUUGAAAACUAUCCAGAAUGGAAAAAAUUUGCAUUGGCUUUAUAUAGUGACUUGAUUAAAAUAUGUACUUUUUUGUCUUAUACUUCCUCCGUUUUACAAUGUAAGUCAUUCUAGCAUUUCCCAUAUUCAUAGUGAUGUAUGUCUAGAUUCAUUAACAUCAAUAUGAAUGUGGGAAAUGGUAGAAUGAAUUACAUCGUGAAACGGGGGGAGUAGAAAAGAUAUAAGUGGAGCAAUAUGAAGCAAGAUGUACUUUUUUUGUCUUACAGAUUACUUGUAUCUGUAAUUAUGGAGCAAUAUGGAAGCUCAAAGUUACUUGUUUUCACCCUAAUAAGUACAUACCAAGUGUCUCUUCUUUCUGUUCAAUCAAUAUUGAUUUGUAGUGCUGCUGGUAAUUUAAUCAAAUGGCACAUUUGUUCCUAAUUUGGCAGGUGCUUGGUGGUUCCAAUUUGGAGAAGUUCCUACUUUACAAAAGUAUGCACCGCGUAUUGUUUCACAAUGUGUGUCAUCCAGUGGCUGUGGGAGAAACCGGAGCACUUUCGCAUUGGUGCAUACGAAGAUUAGGAACCGUCUAGGCUAUGACAAGCUACAUAAGCUUGUAUAUGUUCAUUAUAGCUUGAAAGUACGCAUCCAAGAGAAUGAGAGUGGACAACUAAAGGAAGUUGAUCCAUGUGCUAUGAUGUUGGAUGCUGCAGUAUUUGAUGAGGAAAAUCCAAUAUGGGACUAGUUGGAUAAGUCUAUGGAUGAAGUAGGUCCUUCUUUGAAUGGAAUAUAUCAAAGCUUAGAGAGGAAUUUUUCUGCUGGUGGUAACAGGAAAGGAAAGAGGUCAAGAGUGGAUAAGGAGGAUGAGGAAAUUGAGUUUGAGGAAAGUGAAGAUGGAGAGGAAGAGGUUGAAUUCGAUGAUGCCUCAUCUGGUGCUGAAGAUGAUAAUGGUCAUGAUGUUAGUAUUGAUGGACUAAAUGCUAAUAAUGAUGACAAUGGUGACGAGCUUAUGGGAACCUCAACCAGGGUUGAAGAAGACAUAGAAGCUUCAGGUAGAUCUGGUUGACUCAAGCGAAAGAAGAGAAUGAUCCAAAGCCUCUACCAACGAGAGUAGCACGUCACUUCUGUAAGGUACAGUCCAGCAAGUAUGGAGUACUGUUUUGGAGGCAUAGAUGAUGAUUCGGUGUUUUGUUUGGCGGCAUAGAUGAUGAUUCGGCGUCAUGGUUAGACACCAUCAAAAUGCAUGAUGCCACUGGCAAUUGACAUUUGAUAGCUGACCUUUCUUUUGGUAUAUGGAUGUAAUUCUUUUGGGUGUACCUAUGGCUGGACUGUAAUUAUUUUAGACUUUGGACUCUGAUGGAGUGAUGACUAGACUUGUCGACUAUAGUUAUGUGGUUAUGACUAUGAACUUACUAUUAGGACUAUGGAUAUGCAGUUGUCAAUUGGUUGUUUGGACUGCAUAAUUGCAUUUGUUGUUAUGAGCUUGGAUGUGCUAAUAUGGUUA